Molecule: ribosomal RNA, 254 nt
Filed under: uncultured bacterium
Lineage: Bacteria
Description: partial 16S ribosomal RNA
Rfam family: Bacterial small subunit ribosomal RNA
Source: RNAcentral
UACGUAGGGUGCGAGCGUUGUCCGGAAUUACUGGGCGUAAAGCGCGCGUAGGCGGCCCGGUAAGUCCGCUGUAAAAGUCCAGGGCUCAACCUCGAAACGCCACUCGAUACUGCUGUGACUGGAGUCCGGUAGAGGAGUGCGGAAUUCCUGGUGUAGCGGUGAAAUGCGCAGAUAUCAGGAGGAACACCAACGGCGAAGGCAGCGCUCUGGGCCGGUACUGACGCUGAGGAGCGAAAGCCAGGGGAGCAAACGGG